Molecule: non-coding RNA, 73 nt
Organism: Zea mays
Lineage: Eukaryota; Viridiplantae; Streptophyta; Magnoliopsida; Poales; Poaceae
Source: Rfam
UGGGGUGUAGCUCAUAUGGUAGAGCGCUCGCUUUGCAUGCGAGAGGCUCGGGGUUCAAUUUCCCGCACCUCCA